RNAcentral lists this ribosomal RNA (364 nucleotides) under uncultured bacterium. RNAcentral's name for it is "bacterial SSU rRNA". It matches the Rfam family "Bacterial small subunit ribosomal RNA", at positions 158 to 518 of the family's 1533-position model. The record is from RNAcentral.
GGACGCUAAUACCGCAUACCUCCUACAGGAGAAAGCAGGGGACCUUCGGGCCUUGCGCUAUCAGAUGAGCCUAGGUCGGAUUAGCUAGUUGGUGGGGUAAUGGCUCACCAAGGCGACGAUCCGUAACUGGUCUGAAAGGAUGAUCAGUCACACUGGAACUGAGACACGGUCCAGACUCCUACGGGAGGCAGCAGUGGGGAAUAUUGGACAAUGGGCGAAAGCCUGAUCCAGCCAUGCCGCGUGUGUGAAAAAGGUCUUCGGAUUGUAAAGCACUUUAAUUUGGGAGGAAGGGCAGUAUAUUAAUACUUUGCUGUUUUGACUUUACCGACAGAAUAAGCUCCUGCUAACUCUGUGCCACAACCGC